Non-coding RNA from Pelobates cultripes (western spadefoot toad), 237 nucleotides. The record is from the annotation of a GenBank genome assembly. NCBI's taxonomy places the organism in Eukaryota, Metazoa, Chordata, Amphibia, Anura, Pelobatidae.
AAUGAGUUUACAAGAAAACUGUGGUCAAUUCUUUAUGUUGGAUAAACUGUGUGUAAGCAACACAUGUAGUGAUGAAAACAAAGGCACAGCAGUUUUAGAAGUAACAUUUUUAGUGUUCUUUAGGCAACUGAAGGAAAACAGCAAGUUCAUGUCCCGUCAGAUUUUCAACUUUAAUUCCUGCUUGAUUCAGUCAGUUAUUGGUUAUCCUCUAACAUGCUGAUGGUAUCUGUCGGUCCC